RNAcentral lists this ribosomal RNA (879 nucleotides) under uncultured archaeon. Its description in RNAcentral is "bacterial SSU rRNA". The stretch from base 126 to 879 matches the Rfam family "Archaeal small subunit ribosomal RNA", at positions 859 to 1338 of the family's 1478-position model. The record is from RNAcentral.
ACCCCUAGGCGCGGGUGAUCUUUAUGGAGAUCCUUGAGUACUUUGUCGGGUUUCUCCUGGGGGAUGGCUACCUCUAUCACUACAAGAAGGAGGGGAAGUACCUCGUCAGGUUUGCUGACAGUAACAAGGAGUUCUUAGAGAUGCUUAGAACUGAAAUGUUGUCUGCUGGCUAUAAAGGCCAUAUAUACAAGAUAAAAGGCCGAAACGCGUAUGUCCUGGAAUUUUCAAAUAAGGAGCUGUAUUACUUAUGUCUUGAACUGGCCGCAAAUUUGCUGAAAAGUCCUACAGCUCCCUUUGUGGCUGGGCUGAUAGACGCAGAGGGCUCGCUACAAAAGCCGCGAAGAGGGUCGUUGAGACUGGUUAUUACCAACACAAACCUCCCGUUGUUACAUGCGGCGUCAAACUAUCUGCGCCAGAUAGGCAUCGAGGCGACGCCAAAGCCGUAUGGAAAGACCCAGAGAGGGGAAAGACAAAGAUACCGUAUAAUAGUCUACGGGAAGGAAAAAAUAACAAGGAUCAUUUCGGCCAUCCCCCUGAGACAUCCAAAAUUUUAUCCCCCACCACGGGGCCGAAAGUCCGGCAACGAGCGAGACCCCCGCCCCUAGUUGCUUUCCCGCUCUUCGGAGCGGGAGGCACACUAGGGGGACUGCCGGCGUAAGCCGGAGGAAGGAGGGGGCCACGGCAGGUCAGUAUGCCCCGAAACCCCGGGGCUGCACGCGAGCUGCAAUGGCGGGGACAGCGGGACCCGACCCCGAAAGGGGGAGGCAAUCCCGUAAACCCCGCCCCAGUAGGGAUCGAGGGCUGCAACUCGCCCUCGUGAACGUGGAAUCCCUAGUAACCGCGUGUCACCAACGCGCGGUGAAUACGUCCCUGCCCCUU